RNAcentral lists this ribosomal RNA (163 nucleotides) under uncultured Aureobasidium. RNAcentral's name for it is "partial large subunit ribosomal RNA". It matches the Rfam family "Eukaryotic large subunit ribosomal RNA", at positions 62 to 227 of the family's 3401-position model. Lineage: Eukaryota; Fungi; Ascomycota; Dothideomycetes; Dothideales; Dothioraceae. The record is from RNAcentral.
AAACCAACAGGGAUUGCCCUAGUAACGGCGAGUGAAGCGGCAACAGCUCAAAUUUGAAAGCUAGCCUUCGGGUUCGCAUUGUAAUUUGUAGAGGAUGAUUUGGGGAAGCCGCCUGUCUAAGUUCCUUGGAACAGGACGUCAUAGAGGGUGAGAAUCCCGUAUG